RNAcentral lists this ribosomal RNA (621 nucleotides) under Triticum aestivum (bread wheat). RNAcentral's name for it is "partial small subunit ribosomal RNA". The record is from RNAcentral. Lineage: Eukaryota; Viridiplantae; Streptophyta; Magnoliopsida; Poales; Poaceae.
AUGAGAGCGGACGUCUCCAACACCACUAGCCUUCGCCAUGCACUAGAUGAUUAUUGUGCAGCUUCGGGCCAACUGGUGAGUGAGGCAAAAUCAAGUAUCUUUUUUUGUCCAUGUAACCCUGUGGAGGUGAGGGCCGAAGUUUGCACAACCCUGAGUAUUAGGGUGGAGGCAAUUACAGACAAGUAUUUGGGUCUACCCCCCCCCCCCCUAGUUGGGGUGGACAGACCUGACAGUUUUCAGCACUUGGUGGAUAGAGUUCUGAAAAGAAUUAGAGGAUGGAAGGAAAAAAUGCUCUCUUUUGGAGGAAAGGAAAUAUUAUUAAAGGCCAUUGUUCAAGCCCUACCGUCGUAUGCCAUGUCAGUAUUCAAAUUACCCAAACAAGUAUGUAAUGGGAUAACUACUGCUAUGUCUCAAUAACUAUGGGGUGAUGAGGAUAUGAAGAAGCAUAUGCAUUGGUUUGCAUGGUGGAAAAUGUGUGUCCCAAAGAGCAAAGGUAUGAGUGUCAGUGAUUUGCACCGUUUUAAUAUGACUUUACUUGCUAAACAAUGCCGGAGAUUAGUAGAGCCAGAUUCUUUAUGUGCAAGAGUUUUAAAAGCAAAAUACUUUGCUGAUGCAGACUAA